GGGUGUGAGGAUGAUCUGGCUUCCACAUCUCUCACCCCUUUGAUCCCCAGAGUUGAUUUGGCUGAUCUGGCUGGUUAGGUGGGUGUCCCCUUUCUCCCUCACUGUUCCAUGAGUGUCCCUCCCAAAGCUGUGCACUUAGUCAAAGAGGAUAACCUUUCCAGGAUAGAGGAGGACCGGUCUUCAGUCAAGAGUAUACAAGUA
RNAcentral lists this small nuclear RNA (201 nucleotides) under Rattus norvegicus (Norway rat). RNAcentral's name for it is "7SK RNA". It matches the Rfam family "7SK RNA", at positions 1 to 200 of the family's 331-position model. Rfam says of the family: 7SK was discovered as an abundant small nuclear RNA in the mid-70s but a possible function has only recently been suggested. Two independent studies have found that 7SK RNA binds the CDK9/cyclin T complex (known as elongation factor P-TEFb). Lineage: Eukaryota; Metazoa; Chordata; Mammalia; Rodentia; Muridae. The record is from Rfam by way of RNAcentral.